AACUUCACCGCACUGCAUUUCAUCGCAUUCCGUUGGGUUUCGGUGGGGAUCGGUCGCCCCGGGUCCUCCGGCCGGUCCGUCCUGCAGGGGAUUCGCUUGCAUCCAGCCCAGCGCUUAGGCCAGGGCCUGGCGCCUAGUGAGCGCUAAAGAAAGAGCACCAUCCUCAUCGUCGGCCUCAUUAUUUGUGAUCGUUAUCAUUAUCUGUCAGGUGGUUUUUGUCGUUGUUUUACCUUGCAGCCUCCGGCGCCUGGAGCCCGAAUCAGAGCGGCCCGGGCCGCCGCCGAGCCCCGGCUCCGCGAGGAUCCGCGCCCAGCAGAGAAAUUUUAGGUUGACCUUCAUCUGAGUCAUUGCCGUGGAUCCUGGCGAUUGAUUCCAGCCCAGAAAACCCAACUUCGCCGAUUGAAAAGCUGCUCUGAGUUUUCCGCUGCAAGAAGAAGCCGGCUCUUUUGAAUACAGAGCUGAAGGUCGCUACGUUUUUGAAGCCCGUUGACUUUUCUCCCGGGAGUUUUGUAACCCGUGGCGCUGCAAGUUUCUCUAUGUACCAGGAGGAAAAGAAGACCCUUCAGUUUCAGAAAGAAGAAAAGGGAAGCCAGAUGCAAACCAUUUCAAGAAGGGAUAUUCUCAACCCCAUUCCAACUGCACUUGGAAUAAUCUGAAAUUUAGUUACCGUGGACCCCACCACUGAAACAACGGUCAAGUCUCCUGCUUUGUCUCUUAAAAGAAACAAAACCAUAUGCAAAUACUGCCAACAGCGUACAAAACAUCAGGGUGUUCCCCGACUCUACCAAAAGCGUUUAUACCCGUUUCAUUUAGUAUUCUGGGGACUCGUGCUUCUCCAGGUAUAUUGUAUUAUGCAUUGUUUCUCGGGGAACCGUGGCACUUUCUGAAUUCGGUGCGGGCUAAAAUUCCGCCUCUUGAGCAAUGCGGACUGGCUUUUCACUUACUCCCUCGAAUCGUCCAAACGGGAGACAAUUAUCACUUCAUUAAUCUCCUGGGAAAUCAGAGCUUCAAGCUUCCAGCCCAAAAUCUCCAUUCAAGAACUCAACAAGAUGCUUCUUUGCCUCUGCCCUCUCACUGGAUCUCACCUUGA
RNAcentral lists this long non-coding RNA (1090 nucleotides) under Ornithorhynchus anatinus (platypus). RNAcentral describes it as "lncRNA (ENSOANG00000040775.1)". The record is from RNAcentral. Lineage: Eukaryota; Metazoa; Chordata; Mammalia; Monotremata; Ornithorhynchidae.